Molecule: long non-coding RNA, 3289 nt
Organism: Xiphophorus hellerii (green swordtail)
Lineage: Eukaryota; Metazoa; Chordata; Actinopteri; Cyprinodontiformes; Poeciliidae
Exons: 3
Source: RefSeq, a predicted model, not a curated record
AAAAAAAUCCCUCCAUGGCAACCCCGACAGAGAGCAAAGGAGGAAAAGUGCGUGAACAGAAAUGCGCAAAUGUGUAAAUGAUAAGUGUAACUCUCAUCUGAAAGGUCUGUCAAAGACAGAGAGGGAACAAUUACAAAGACGGCAUAAGACAUGUAGAAUGUGCUGGUGGAGGGAAAAUGAGGCUUUUUCAAAAGUAUGCUUCUUUAAUUAUAUUAUCUUUGUCUAGUUAUGUUAGAAUUUAAAAAUACGUAUUUUUACUGAACACUGCCUUUCAGAAAAUAAAGGAAUGACCACGUUUGAGAAGCCUAGUAUGAUGUGAGGGGUUGGCAUGACUCCUUAGAGAGCCGUUUAUCUUUUAGAAACGUUAUAAAUACCUCCAUCUGUUUUACUGUUAUUGGCCUCAGAGCCAUAAGAACAAUAAUAUAAAAACACCAACUCUGAAAUAACAGCAGCAGAGCUGCAUUACAAAGUUAUAUUGGUCAUAAGACACCAAAGAUUGCAAUGUGUGACUUUCUUGGAUCCAUUGGGCUGGUUAUCGUGUUGUGAUGAACGGCGUUUGUAUCAGUGUGCUUCGACCUUUUCAGUGCAAACCUUUUUUUUCCUAAACGGUGCUUUUUAACCACAAACAUGGCUUGAGAUGCAAACAGCAGUAAAUCCAAAAAUACCCUAAUCCAUUUCUUGUAGACUUGUGGAUACAGCAUAUUUGUGAUUUUAAUAAACAAGGGACUGAUUUGAACUAGGACGCAUAGCAAGAAAUAUCAAACACCCUUUUUAGGAAAUACUGAGUGGACCAUAGACUCCUGGUAGAAAAUAUUUUUGGCCUGUUUAGAAGUUUAUUCUGUUUUGGAUUUGGUGGAUUAGGCUAUCUUCUCUGCCUUGUCGCACCACAUUCGUUUUAGUGUGGCAAAAAUGCAUUUCAGUCUCUGUGAUUUUGUGCGAUGUCUCUUAGUUUUUGUUUGCUGAGCUGAACCGUUUGCUUCGCUUGACAGACGGAGCUGAUUCUGCAGGCACAGAAACAUCCACAAACGUAGUUCACAGAGCGACGCACGCCCUUCUGUGCAGAACAAACAUUUUCAGUCGAAAUGCUUGCAUGCAUAUCUUCUCUCUCUUCAAAGUCUUGCAGAUUGUGUUGAUGGAUGAAGAGCUCAGAUUGUGAAAUGCUCUUUAAUCUGCCCUCCCUCUCCAUCUUGUCUCCCAACACUUUACCCGGCUCUCGUGUCUGUCUUUUCACUUCAUAUGUAUCUCUGCUGGCAGGACAGCUUCCUGUUUUAAUCUUUUUCUGUUUAAUUCCCCACUAGAACUGUUACAGUACACUUUUACUUAUAGAUGAUACGUCAUUUUUACUGACCUUAACCACUUACUAUAGAACAAUCUUCAAUGGCAACCUUUAAACCUCUAAAAAAUCGGUGUCAAAAUAUAGUAGGAAAGCUAUCCAACUUUCUUCUUAUCCAUUUCACCAGAUCCAUUCAUCCCCAGUUCCUCUAUUUUUCACAGUAAAACUUCUCCUUAUAGCAAGCUGAGUUGUCAUUGCUUAAAGAGUCCUUACUCUCUCCCUCCUUUUCUUGAUCCAUAAGGGAGGACAGUCUCCUUGAUUCGUCCCUUGCCGCCUGUCUCUACUCCUCUCUUCCUCUCUGUCCCUCUUGAUACUCCCAGCAGGUGCCUCAUUCAUCUCUUAAAACAAUCACUUGGAAUUCCUGUGGAUCUUCGGGUUGUGGAUGUGGUGGGAUGCAAGAUGUUCGCAUCAACCAGAAAACAAAAGCUAAUGGCUUGUGAAGCUGUUGACUGAGUAAGAGUGUCAUCAUCCACAGUGAAACCGCUGACUUUCCCCUGAAGCAAAAGCAUAAAAUUGUGUUUCAGAGGCAGGAACACAGCACAAGGUUGGUGCUGCAGGGCAGGGUUUAAAAGAUGCAAUUGUGAAGGUUUUGUGAAAGGCAGAUUGUAUUUGUACUUCCAUUUCUUUUAACUGUGACCAAAAUUCACCAUAUCUACACACACAUGCACACCCCCGCGCACCCCCACACACACACACAUAUGUCUUUCUUAACCUCUAAACUCUAUUCACAAAAUGCUUCUUUGUGGAAUAUUUAAUCAUAAAUAUUCCACAAAGAAUACACCUUAAUCAUAAAUACCACUUCUUCUUAUGGAGUCUGGGCUAUGGGCCCCAGAAAUGGGGCCCAAAUUAAAAUAUUUGUUGCAGAAAUUAACCUUGCAAUGUGAGAAGUGCUGAAACACACGCACUUGAAGUUCAUACAAGAACUUACACAUUCACACUUCAUUUUAAAUCCUUGUACACCUUUCACUACCAAAUCUGACACCCCGGACACACCAGCAGAAGUUAGUGAGGCUUUGCAAGUAGCAGAGACAGCCAUCUUCCAAAACAAUUAUCCCAUUAUUACCUUCACUUUUACUCUCUGAUAAAAGCUUUUCUGCAGGCUGCCGCCUCCACAAAAGGCCUUCUCUGUUCAUCAGGUUGAAGGUAAUUACCGCUGUAGGUUGGAAACCGUACACAUUUUCCAGUUCCACGUAUCGCGCCUGCCUGCUCUCUGUGGAUGACUAACAGUGCACUGAUUAUAGGGAGUGUUCAAAGCCUUCAUUGGAUUUCAAACACCCACACUGAUGCACAUAUGCGUACUCUCAAAUGAACAAUAGAGGAAAACAACACCACUAGUAUUACUAGGAUUCAAAUUGUUCAAGCAGAAACUGAACUUUAGAGGAUAUUUAAGUACUUCUGAGGAUAAGAAUAGCUUUCUGUUGGUUCUGUAAGAGAAACAUCGUACAUCAAACAACUGAACUUAAAGUUGUUUGAUGUUCAAAAGCACAUAUAUCUUAUUUGUUUUAUUGAAUCUACAGUAUUUAAGAUAUAAUCCAGAAUUUUCUCCAGCAGAUACCUAAAUGAGAAAAAUAUCUCUGAAUAUUUGAAAUAAUGAACUUCCUUAACAAUUUGACAAAUGUAUUUAUUGAAUCUUGUUCUUAUAGAAUUGAAAAUAACAAUAACAAAGGCAAGAGAAGAAUGAAUAAUGUAAUAAGAGACAAGAAUGAAGGGAAACAAAUCUGAACUGUUUUGUAGGUUGAUGGUCUAAUUUACAAGAAAAGAACUUGGAUUUAUGGAUAAAUGAGGAUAUUUUAUUGCUACUGAAGCUGAAAAGUGUGGAAGAAGAAAGUGGAAAUAGUAGUAACAUUAGUUACACUGGUUGUGAUGAAACGAGGAGACAGUUGCAGUUGAAAAUGUUUUAAAUUUUGGGCGUGCUGUGGUGGCGCAGGGGAUGGUGCGACCCACGUUUGGAGGCCU